RNAcentral lists this long non-coding RNA (454 nucleotides) under Dermacentor andersoni. RNAcentral's name for it is "uncharacterized LOC126519640". Lineage: Eukaryota; Metazoa; Arthropoda; Arachnida; Ixodida; Ixodidae. The record is from RNAcentral.
CAGGUUAAAUUCUUAAAUAGGUCGCGCCUGCGCCUAAUUGAGUCUACGAAAGCCUGCACAUUCAGUUUUGCUGGCUACAAUGCAGUGCGGCUGGCGUGAGCUGUCUCCACGAUGCGCUUCGAGCGUGUCGAUUUCGCCGUUCUUUAUGUUGGCGGAAACGACCUUGAAAGCAACAUGGAUCCACAAGAAAUAUGUGACAACAUCAAGGCCUUGAUUGUUCAACGAGACGGCCCCCGUCGUGCUGGUUUUCAAGGUGCUCCCUCGCUGCCUAGAAGAUGCUGAUGCGGAACAGAAAAUGCAAAAACGUCGCUUGCUCAACCGCAAAUUGACGGCUACGCUGAAGCGCAUGCCGUGUCUGCGGAAUUUGAACCCCGAGCUUUCCAGAGUUCCUUGGAAAAUCCUCCCAUGCACCUGCCAUGUACAUUGACCCUCCUCCUCGAUGUGGCGUGCAAGA